RNAcentral lists this ribosomal RNA (253 nucleotides) under uncultured bacterium. RNAcentral's name for it is "partial 16S ribosomal RNA". It matches the Rfam family "Bacterial small subunit ribosomal RNA", at positions 524 to 776 of the family's 1533-position model. The record is from RNAcentral.
UACGUAGGGUGCAAGCGUUAAUCGGAAUUACUGGGCGUAAAGCGUACGCAGGCGGCUAUGUAAGACAGGUGUGAAAUCCCCGGGCCUAACCUGGGAACUGCAUUUGUGACUGCAUAGCUAGAGUCCGUCAGAGGGGGGUGGAAUUCCUAGUGUAGAGGUGAAAUUCGUAGAUAUUAGGAAGAACACCGGUGGCGAAGGCGGCCCACUGGUCCGGUACUGACGCUGAGGUGCGAAAGCGUGGGGAGCAAACAGG